This 493-nucleotide ribosomal RNA is filed under the name uncultured bacterium. Its description in RNAcentral is "partial 16S ribosomal RNA". The stretch from base 20 to 341 matches the Rfam family "Bacterial small subunit ribosomal RNA", at positions 47 to 358 of the family's 1533-position model. The record is from RNAcentral.
GACGAACGCUGGCGGCGUGCUUAACACAUGCAAGUCGAACGGUGAAGCGCCUUCCUUUUUGGUGGGUGUGGAUGAGUGGCGAACGGGUGAGUAACACGUGAGUAACCUGCCCCCUUCUUCUGGAUAACCGCAUGAAAGUGUGGCUAAUACGGGAUAUUCUGGGUCUGUCGCAUGAUGGGUCUGGGAAAGAUAUUGUUUCGGUGGGGGAUGGGCUCGCGGCCUAUCAGCUUGUUGGUGGGGUGAUGGCCUACCAAGGCGGUGACGGGUAGCCGGCCUGGGAGGGGGGGCGGCUACAUGGGGGUGGGAAGCGGGACCGAACUCUUAGGGGGGGGAGAGGGGGGGAAUAUGGAAGAGGGGGGAGAGGGUUGGUGCAGGACCGCCGGGUGGGGGGUGGGGGCCUUCGUGUGGGGACCCUUUUUGGGCAGGGAAGGGGGCCGGCCUCGUUUGUGGGUGGGUUGGCGGUGGUUGGAAAAGGAGGGGCGACGAACUACAU